GGCGUGACUCACUCACUUUCUAAACUUUUACGCUGUCAUUUACCAUAAUUCUCUUCUUUGAGUGUCUCUGUGUGGUGCCCUCAUUACUGGCAAUACUCUCCUUGUUUUCCCGAUUUAUGCAAUUAAAGGCCUAGCUGUGUGAGCAUUUCCCCAGUUUCAUUUACAAUGGUACCAAGCUGAAGACCAGAAUAAAGAUGUUCUCAGAGCAGAGACAGCAGAAGCCCCUCCACACUGAACGCCAAGCCGCUCCUCCAUGGGAUAUGAGUGGCAUAAGAGUUGGAAUGAGCUGUAGAGGCUGACCCUUUGGGAAGUUCAUCAAAGGCAGGAGACAAGGAGACAAGGAGACAAGGAGACAAGGAGACAAGGAGACUCACGGAGGCCCAGAUUUUCAGCUGUUCAACAAUGUCAAUAAGGUGACG
This 419-nucleotide long non-coding RNA is filed under the name Mus caroli (Ryukyu mouse). Its description in RNAcentral is "predicted gene 12534 (MGP_CAROLIEiJ_G0003352.1)". Lineage: Eukaryota; Metazoa; Chordata; Mammalia; Rodentia; Muridae. The record is from RNAcentral.